Long non-coding RNA from Bombyx mori (domestic silkworm), 854 nucleotides. RefSeq lists it as uncharacterized. NCBI's taxonomy places the organism in Eukaryota, Metazoa, Arthropoda, Insecta, Lepidoptera, Bombycidae. The transcript is spliced from 4 exons. The record is from RefSeq and is a predicted model, not a curated record.
AGUGAAUCUGUGGCAGCCGGCGCGGCGGCGUCGCGGCGUCGGUCGAUACGAGCGGUGCGCAGUGCGCGCACAGUGUGCACCGCGUCCGGCCCGGACACACGGGCAGCCGCGCGCGGUCCGGCCCCUGAGCGUUGUUCUGAGCCUCAUUCGGUGGACAUGACUCCGGUUGCUACGUCUUGACAAUAAAUGAAACUUCCACACCGAAAGAUUCAACACAAAACUACAACGGAUACAUGAAUAAUAAAUGAAAUUUCUCAUUUUCAAUCGAGAGUCUCCGCGGGGUCCUGAGAGACUCAGGAGACACACGGGAUCGAUCGAUCUAACAGUAACCCAUCAGCAGUCGUGACGUCACACUCUGACGUCAUACGCUGGCGCCGGACUGAACGAGCAGACACCAGCGCAUGUUCUGGUCGCGUCGUCGCUGCGUUCAGACAGACUUAUCGAAGCGAGAGCCAGGCUUCCAGGGACCCUAUAAACACAACGACACAUUUCAACUGCUGAUAGCUCCAUGCUACUGACAUGCACAGUUCAAACCCUGAUGCAGUGAUUCGUGCGAAGUCCGUCUUCCCGGCCGCUGUCCUCGCCGGAGCGGCAAGAGCGCCGUUGGUGGCUGCUGGUUGGUGGCACCGCCGGCACCGCGUGUGUCGUGUGCACCAUGUGCACGCGACGCACUGACGCUCAGCAUUGGGAAGCCGAAGAUAUCACGCAGUACUCGUGAGGAUCAAAUGGAAAUGGCUCUGUGGACAGGGCACAGCCGGGUCACUACUCUGGAGGCUCGGCCUUGGAGUGCUUCAUCAUUCAAACCACCUUUUCUUUUUUAUUUAUUUAAUAAAUAAUAAAAAAUACACAAAGUA